This 162-nucleotide non-coding RNA is filed under the name uncultured Prevotella sp. The record is from RNAcentral. Lineage: Bacteria; Pseudomonadati; Bacteroidota; Bacteroidia; Bacteroidales; Prevotellaceae.
CAGGUUCGCUACAGACGCGAUUAAAAGGGAAUCGGGUGAAAAUCCUGAACAGUCCCGCUGCUGUGAGCUGUCCUUAUAUGGGGCGAACGUUAGCCACUGAGCGCUUAUUACUCGGGAAGGUGUUUGCCAACCAGACAGCGAGUCAGAAGACCUGCCGUUGUG